AUUUCUUGUAUUUACUUUAUUCGAUUGGCCCAACUGUGACUGACUCACCUGGGGAGCCUCUCUGUUUGUGCGUUAGUUUUAUCCAUCAACUCCCAGAGAUUAACCCGUUCGGGGCCACCGAUAAGGCGUCGUCAUGUCCACGCAGCAUGCGGAGAACGAGGAGAUUCCAGCGCAGAAGUCCAAGCGACCUUCAGAUUCGGCCUUCAAACAGCAACGCCUGCCCGCCUGGCAGCCCGUACUCACCGCUCGCACAGUCCUGCCCACGUUCUUUGUGAUCGGAGUGCUCUUCAUACCCAUCGGAGUCGUCCUGCUGCACCUGUCGAAUACGGCCAAUGAGCAUAUCAUCGACUACACCUGGUGCGGAAACGGAAACGUCAACUGUUCUGAUUAUUUGGAGAAGAACCCGGGUGGCCAGUGUAACUGCGCGAUAAACUUUACCCUUCCCAAGGAUUUCAAUGGCGUGGUGUACAUGUACUAUGGCCUGACCAACUACUACCAGAACCAUCGGCGUUAUGUGAAGUCGCGCGACGACGAGCAGCUGCUGGGCCACCUAUCGCAGACGCCCAGCUCGGACUGCACACCCUUUGCCAUCGAUCCGGACACCAAUAAGCCGAUUGCUCCCUGUGGCGCCAUUGCCAACUCGCUGUUCAAUGACUCGCUUUCUUUGUCGCAUGCUGGCUCUGACAUCAAGCUGCUCAAGACGGGCAUUGCGUGGCCUUCAGAUAAGCGGGUAAAAUUCCGCAAUCCGGAGGGCAACCUUAACGUUUCCCUCCAGGACUUUGCAAAGCCCUUGUUCUGGCAGAAAGGCCUGGCCGAUCUGGAUCCCGAGAAUCCGGAGAACAAUGGAUUCCAAAAUGAGGAUCUGAUUGUAUGGAUGCGAACCGCCGCUUUGCCGAGCUUUAGGAAGCUCUAUCGUCGGCUGGACCAAACGGAAGCCACCUAUGCCAAGGGUCUCAAGGCCGGUGAUUAUACGCUGAACGUCAAGUAUCAAUAUCCGGUUGUCUCGUUUGAUGGCACCAAGCGCAUGAUCCUGUCCACUACCUCUGUGCUAGGUGGCAAGAAUCCUUUUCUGGGUAUCGCCUACAUUGUGGUUGGCGCCAUUUGCAUCACGUUGGGCCUGGCCCUGCUCUUUAUUCAUGUGCGCUGCAGUCGUAGUAGAACCGUGAGCCUUGGGCCACCGAACAAAAGGUCUGGGAAAAAGUGGUCAGGAAGAAAAAGCCCAGAAGCCACCAUCACCUAACCGAAGUCCCACACCCACUCCCACCAUCAUCAUCAUCAUAUCUCAUGGCCAAAUAAAGCUAUUGCCGCAGCAACAUGGAGAUGAUCAACGUGAAUCCCCACACGCAGUACUCUUAGGCCCGGCAGAGCAUUCCUGGCGGCUGCUUCACACAUACAUAUAUAGCUUUAGUAGAAUCCAUCUGUUUAAGCCCUAUCAGCAUAAAGUAGCCCCUAUUGACCAACUCUCGCACCCUGUGUUCUUCUCGACCCUGCUCGGCGCCGUAUGUUAUCCCCAGGAGCUGGCUGUGCCCCCCACUGUUAAUCCCCAUUUCUGUUGUCCGCGUGUGCACCAAGUACAGGACUUGUGAUUAUUUUUUUUGUUACUAACUUAUAACUCGUAUCCUUGCGCAUGACACCACAGGGAAGAGCCGUACACGAACUUCCACCAUCGCUAGACAAACUGACAAACAGGUAAUGAGUCACUUUGUGCCGUUUGCCCGAUAUAUUACUAUGUUUAUACGCGCUAAUAAACCUUUUGUAAUGACAA
Non-coding RNA from Drosophila kikkawai, 1765 nucleotides. The record is from RefSeq and is a predicted model, not a curated record. NCBI's taxonomy places the organism in Eukaryota, Metazoa, Arthropoda, Insecta, Diptera, Drosophilidae.